Peromyscus maniculatus bairdii (prairie deer mouse) is the source of this 673-nucleotide non-coding RNA. Lineage: Eukaryota; Metazoa; Chordata; Mammalia; Rodentia; Cricetidae. The record is from RefSeq and is a predicted model, not a curated record.
UGCAUGGCGAGUUGUCAUGACAACCAAGGGAAACUAACGGAGAGAGUUUGGUGCUGCAUCUCCCUCACGGCUGUACUAAGUGCCACAGGAUGCCAGCCUGGUUCCUUCAAGAGCAAGAACACCAGUGAAGCAUGCUGGCUUCAAGCACCGGCAGGGAGACGGAGGGCUCCGAGGCUGCGCUCUGAUCUCAGAGAGGAAGCUCCCUGCAGCCUCUCUUCACAGGUCCUCUGUGCAGGAAGCAAGACUUUGAAGGAAGCCCUGGAAGAAGUCGGCAGUUCUCCUUCCCUAGCCUUGCAGCCUGUCCAUCACGACUUCACACUUCAUCAAUAAACCGAAGAGGAAAAGUUCCCGGAGCCACAGCUAAACCAGUGAGGUGUAUAUGGCUUUAACAGAGCCAGGACACUUAUCUCAAGCUGGGAGUGUAAUUUCAUGCUGCCUUCCCUUCUCACCUUGCUUUAAUUCAACCAGAAGCAUGGCUUCCCUGGGGUCAGAGACACGGAAAGAGAGCACGUCCAGAGCACUGCUCGGGUUCCACUACUCACACUCACCAUUUCAGAGGCGUUGAAUAGCCUGACUUCCGCAUCAAAAGGCUACCCCACUGAAAAACACUCUGUGGAGCAGGGCUGGGAUGGAGCAAAGACAGAGAGGAAGGCUUGGAGGACACCUAAUCCAG